AUUGAACGCUGGCGGCAUGCUUUACACAUGCAAGUCGAACGGUAACAGGCCGCCAGGUGCUGACGAGUGGCGAACGGGAGAGUAAUGCAUCGGAACGUGCCCAGUCGUGGGGGCUAACUACCCGAAAGAGUAGCUAAUACCACAUACGAUCUAUGGCCGAAAGCGGGGGACCGUAAGGCCUCGCGAGAUUGGAGGGGGCUAUGGCGGAUUAGGUAGUUGGUGGGGUAAAGGCCCACCAAGCCAACGAUCUGUAGCUGGUCUGAGAGGACGACCAGCCACACUGGGACUGAGACACGGCCCAGACUCCUACGGGAGGCAGCAGUGGGGAAUUUUGGACAAUGGGCGCAAGCCUGAUCCAGCAAUGCCGCGUGCAGGAAGAAGGCCUUCGGGUUGUAAACUGCUUUUGUACGGAACGAAACGGCUCUGGUUAAUACCCGGGGCUAAUGACGGUACCGUAAGAAUAAGCACCGGCUAACUACGUG
Molecule: ribosomal RNA, 482 nt
Filed under: uncultured bacterium
Lineage: Bacteria
Description: partial 16S ribosomal RNA
Rfam family: Bacterial small subunit ribosomal RNA
Source: RNAcentral